Molecule: long non-coding RNA, 442 nt
Filed under: Panax ginseng (ginseng)
Lineage: Eukaryota; Viridiplantae; Streptophyta; Magnoliopsida; Apiales; Araliaceae
Description: long non-coding RNA (PGIN_LNC012959)
Source: RNAcentral
GGCCCUUUCUCGAGCCAAGGUCGAUCUCAGCAUGUUGAUCUCCUGUCUCAUGAAAUCUUCCUCGGCUUCCCCAUUUAUGUGUCUUGGACGCAAACGUCUAAAGACAACAUUGGCCUGCAUAUGUCCAAACAGUGCUCAAGCUAGUACCCAGAUAUCCAAUUAAGAACAGAAAGACAUAAAAAUAAAGAAAUGAUUAUUUACCUUAGCCAGAUAGCUCAUCCCUUCAUCGAGCAGAUUCCCGUCCAUGUGAUCACUGAACCGAUGAUCGUCAGCGUUCCUUACGAAGGUCUCGAAUAGGUCGAACGGAAAGUUAGCAUUGAAUCUAGGCCACAGAGUCGGAGAUCCCAUGGCCUCGGCAUGAUAACCCUGACCUGAAGGACCAGGUCGUUCAGGCGAGGGUCUUGACCUUUCUGGGGAAGGAGCUGGUUGCUCAAGAGGAGUA